RNAcentral lists this ribosomal RNA (301 nucleotides) under uncultured bacterium. RNAcentral describes it as "partial 16S ribosomal RNA". It matches the Rfam family "Bacterial small subunit ribosomal RNA", at positions 509 to 807 of the family's 1533-position model. The record is from RNAcentral.
CAGUCGCCGCGGUAAUACGUAGGGUGCGAGCGUUAAUCGGAAUUACUGGGCGUAAAGCGUGCGCAGGCGGUUAUGUAAGACAGAUGUGAAAUCCCCGGGCUCAACCUGGGAACUGCAUUUGUGACUGCAUGGCUAGAGUACGGUAGAGGGGGAUGGAAUUCCGCGUGUAGCAGUGAAAUGCGUAGAUAUGCGGAGGAACACCGAUGGCGAAGGCAAUCCCCUGGACCUGUACUGACGCUAAUGCACGAAAGCGUGGGGAGCAAACAGGAUUAGAUACCCGUGUAGUCCCUGUCUCUUAUAC